RNAcentral lists this ribosomal RNA (401 nucleotides) under uncultured bacterium. Its description in RNAcentral is "partial 16S ribosomal RNA". It matches the Rfam family "Bacterial small subunit ribosomal RNA", at positions 360 to 773 of the family's 1533-position model. The record is from RNAcentral.
AAUAUUGCACAAUGGACGCAAGUCUGCUGCAGCAACGCCGCGUGAGGGAUGACGGCCUUCGGGUUGUAAACCUCUUUUAGUAGGGCAGAAGCGAAAGUGACGGUACCUGCAGAACACGCACCGGCUCACUACGCGCCAGCAGCCGCGGUAAUACGUAGGGUGCAAGCGUUGUCCGGAAUUAGUGGGCGUAAAGAGCUCGUAGAGGGUUUGUCAGGUCUGAUGUGAAAUCUGGUGGCUCAACCAUCAGCUUGCAGUGGGUACGGGCAGGCUAGAGUGCGGUAGGGGGGAUUGGAAUUCCUGGUGUAGCGGUGGAAUGCGCAGAUAUCAGGAGGAACACCGAUGGCGAAGGCAGAUCUCUGGGCCGCUACUGACGCUGAGGAGCGAAAGCAUGGGGAGCGAAC